RNAcentral lists this long non-coding RNA (18953 nucleotides) under Pelobates cultripes (western spadefoot toad). The record is from RNAcentral. Lineage: Eukaryota; Metazoa; Chordata; Amphibia; Anura; Pelobatidae.
UAAGGGAUGAUACACUACGUCUACUUGCCCCAGGCACACUGGGACUUGUAUCUUCUGUACCAAGUGCUAUUUGGAGAAAAAACAGGCAAGUUUACCCACCAGGCCAAUAGCACAGGCCACCAACAGGUACUGUAUGAUGUUUUUACUGCUCUAAUGUAGGGGAUGCCAAAAAUGAAGGUCAAAUAUAUAUUAUAUAUUUAUUAAAUAUUUUUGUUAAUUUUAUUUCCAUUUUUUUUAUCAGUAUUACAAUAUGGCAUGUAUUUUAUGUGAUUAUAUAUAUAAACACAAACAUACAUAUAAUAUGGGUGUAAAUGUAUGUAUAUUCAGGAAAGAGUAGGUGCACUCACAGGUCUUUUCUUAUAUAAUCUUGUGGAUGCAAUAUUAAAUGUUUAUUUUCAUUCUUUUGAUAAUUUCUUUAUUUGAUAUAGUUUCUAUCAGCAUAAUAUUUAUUUAAUAUUAGUAGACUCUUUUUUUUUCUUUACAAAUACAAUUUGCAUUUGCUAACCCAUUUUUUUUUUAAAUUUUUUUUUUUAUUAGACUAUGUGAAUUUUACAACAUAACCGUAACAAAUAAGUGCUACUUUAUAUCAACCGACCUUUUAAGAAUAAACUGCUUUAUCUGUUAACUAAAAUUUUGGCAUUCCUAAGCCUAGGUGGAAGUUUGAGCUAUACAGAUAAUAAAUAAUUUCCAAUAAUUAACAAAAGCACUUAAAAAUAACUGACAUGUAUACAAAGAAUAUUCAUUUUUUUUUUAAAGUUGAAGUGGAAUGAGUUUACUCUCAAGCCAGUUAAUUUAAACAGUAUCUAUCUGUUUUAGAUAUUUGCUGUGUAUACUUAAACUGGUUAGUUUGAAAGUUGUAACAAGACAUAUGAUUUAUACGUUUUCUAUCAGUGAUUAAUGCGCCUUAAUUAGCUAAUCUCAAAUCUAUUAUUUACAACAGAUGUAGACAAAACGAUAGCUACCUAUACAACUGUUCAGUCAAGUAAAAUUGCAAAAUGUGAAGAAAUGUAAAAAUGCAUGCAUUUAUAGAUCGAAAACCUUUUAAGGCUAAUACAAUCUAUACAAUACAUUGUUUCCACAAAUGUUAUAUAUUUUUUUAUUUAGUUUAAGUAAGUGUUUUAUUUUUUUACAAUAUUGAAAAAUAAUAUUAAUUAAAAAUACCUUUUUUAUUUUUUUAUUGUAAAUUUAUUAUUUUUCGUUCAAAUACAUUCUUAUUUUUAUGAUUUGUAAUGAAGACCUUGAGACAGAGGAAUUUAGUUACAGUUUGUGUGAUCUCAUUUGCGACUAUCGUUGUGUAAAUAUAGUUGGAAAAAAUUUAGUUUUAUAUAUAUAUAAAUAUAUAUAUAUGUGUGUGUGUGUGUGUAUGUGUUAUAUUUUUGAAGUAGCGUGUCCAGUUAAUAAAUAUGAAUUCCACUGUUGAAUGUUAAAAACGUGCAACAAAGCACAACUGAUAUGAUAUAAUGAUAUAAAACGGAAUAAUUAAAACCAUUGCAAAUCACUGUUUAUUCUUUGCGUUCUCAAAAAAUACAUUUCUCGUUUAAAUAAAUAGCAGUAAAUAAUUUUACAAUAAAUACAUUAUUGAGACAAUAUUUAUUAUUCAUUUUAUUUUUUUAAUGAAUAAAAAAAUUAUAUUUACGGCACCACUUAGCAAUAGUUUAAUAUUACUAAGACUACUGUAUAAUUUGCACAGCUACGUGGGACAUGAAAUAUAGAAUCAUGCAGCAUGUGGGGCAAUCUACAUUAUGUCACAUGAGUUUUAAUUACUCAUUUACUAAUUUCUGAAAUAUUGAACACCAUGUAACAUGAUAAAUAACAUAUGGUUGUCCGUAGUUCCACACAAAGGUUAACAUUAAUCAUAAAAUAAUAAUUAUUAUAGAUGUUCCUGACACAGCAACAUGUAUGCGUAUAUAACAUUAUAUAUAUAUAUAUAUAUAUAUAUAUAUAUAUAUAUAUAUAUAUAUAUAUAUAUAUAUAUAUAUAUAUAUAAUGUUGCCCCCCUCACGUGGCAAAUCCCUCCCCCUUUCCUAAAAUAAAUAUUCAAUACUUUCACUUUUAGCAGCAAAGCAUAAUAGGAACACUUUGCCCCCUUGCGGUCCACUGCACCCCAAGAUGCUUAAAAAAAUUAAUUAUUCCUGAAGUGGGGGUUUAAUUUGAAAUCCUUUUUUCCCCAAAUAAAUAUGAUGCAUAUUUAUUGCAGGAGAACUCUGUAUGUAUGUAUAUGUGUGUAUGUAUAUAUAUAUAUAUAUAUACCCAUAUAUGCAUACUAUUAUUAUUAUUAUUAUUAUGUGUGUUUAUAUAUAUAUAUUUAUAUUAUAUUUAUAAUCUACUAUUUAUUUUCAAAUUUGAAAAUAUGUGUAGCUGUCUAUAAAUAUUACUAAGCUUUUAAGAAAUGCAAUAGAAAUUCAUAAUUAUGUUCCAUUUUUCUCUUCAUUUAAAAUCUGAAUAAAUGGCAUCUGUUUAAUUUAAGCAAUAAAUACCCUGGAUCUUUGUCUUUUUGGUCUCAUCUCUAAAGAUUAUUAAUCUCUGCUGUAUUUCCACAGUAAAGAAAUGGAUUAAGACUGGUAUCAAGGAUUAUUCCUUCAUGCCACACAGAUGGAGCCAUACUGUACACAAAAACACAAAGAAAUCUGUGUGUGUGUGUUUAGUGGUGGGGGUAUGGGCACGUGUUAAUAAUUGAAUAAAACAGAUUAAUUUGUAUCAAUAUAUAUAUAUUUUUAUAUACAUUUCUUUUUCUUUUUUUCUUAAAUCCAUUUAAAGUUUACUAGAUAUUCGUUAAUGUUUUGGGUUUCUAGGGUGCAUAUUGACAGAAAUUUAAAUUGUUUGUUUGCAGAUGAGAACAGAUUUGCAAUCCCCAAAACACAAACACACAGUAACAUAGUAUACCUCAGAUGUCGUGCAUAAAAAAAUGGUUUAUCGAUUGAAAUAAUAGAAGCAUUAUUUUGAUUUGUCCUGACAUGAUGGCUGAUUUAUAGAUCCCCCCUCUGCAUUGAUUUCUGUGUGUUGUCCAUUCACAUGGAAAUGAUAAAAUCUCACCAAAAUGCACUCUCGUGUUAAUCAAGAAUGCUAGAUACACAUUAGAAAAACUGCCAUUUUAUUUAUGGUUUGUCCUGGCCAUGGGGGUUUACUCAAAGUAUUGUAUGUGCCUUGGAUUGACUUUUUGAUACAUGUGUUUUCACUUUACACUUUCAAGUAACUGUAGCAGACAAUAGUGUGAGAGACAUUUAGAAAUAUAAGGAGACAGACCUGCAUAUGUGUUUCAUUUCUCUGGGACAGAGGGAGAAAGCAAACUGCAAAAGGUUUGUAAGAAUACAUACAGAAACAUUCAAGUUCAAGGCUGGGACGCUGAGAAAGAAAAGAAAGGGGACAUUAUAUAUAUGAAUACUGAUGAAAUAUGUGUGCAUGUGUUUUUGUGUGUCUGUGUUUGUGUGUGUGUGUGUGUGUGUGUGUGUGUCAGGCAUAGGAGAGUAGAUGUAUUGGGUGAAGGGAAUUCAGGACAGAUUAGUGUAGUUAGUCAUUACAGACAAUAGAGGAUAUUCCCCAGGUAUCACUGCUUUCCAUUCUCUACUUUGCCAUCCCAGGUAGGUAACUGUAUAGGAGCAUGUAUGGUGCAUAUAUUGUCACAUGACAUCAGCACACAGAUUGUAUGACUAAAUAAAAGCUUCAGGCAGGUAAGUGCUCAUUUAUUGUAUUUUAAUUGUCUCUGCUUUGUGUAUGUGUUACCCAAUGAAUGUCUCUCCAGGGUUCAAAUACAGGUUCUUUUUGGUGAACAGGGAAAGAAGGAUCUAAAUGGUGGAGUAAGGUUUUUGUUUUUUUCAAGGGCAUCCUGCUUGUGUCAUGUGGAGCACACCAUAUAUUCUUCAUUGAUCUGGCAGAUUGGACAAAAAGUAAAAGGGGUGGCGUGUGGAUUUAAUGGCAGUGAAAGUAUUAGAGGGGAUCAGAUUGAGAGAGGGAGAGAGAGAUUCUGAACAUCUGUCUAAUGCAGCCAAUACAAGUGACAUUAGUGAUAUUGGAGAGAGCAAGUCUGCAGCCCAGUGAGCUGGGAUUAGAAGGGCAUCCUCAAUCCGAUUACAGACUGCUUCCCCCAUGCCAGCCACACUGCAUACACAGCCCAGACCUCCUCUCAAUACAAUAACAGGAAUCUGAAUAGUUAACACCUUGCAAGCCAGAAGGUGCAAUGCUUUAUCACUUAUUGAUUCACUGAUGUGGAAAUUUUUUUUUCACUAAUUCUCUAAAGAUUUGGUCAAAUAUAUAUCAACACACAGAAAUAGCAUCAACAUUAGAAUAUUAUAUUAGACUAUGUAGCACUUUCAUCGCUCCAUGUGCAUAAUGUGUGUGUUUAUAUGUUCGUUCUUUCUCUCUCCCUCUUUCUUUCGCUGUGUGCAGACUGUCACAGUAUACAGCUUAGCAGUCUCUGUGUUUUUGAAGUGCUGUGUCCCCCUGUCACAGUAUAUAGCCUAGCAGUCUCUGUGUUUUGCAAGUGAUCUGUCCCCCUGUCUCAGUAUAUAGCCUAGCAGUCUCUGUGUUUUGGAAUUGCUGUGUGCAGACUGUCACAGUAUACAGCCUAGCAGUCUCUGUGUUUUGGAAGUGCUGUGCCCCCCUGUCUCAGUAUACAGCCUAGCAGUCUCUGUGUUUUGGAAGUGCAGUGCCCCCCUGUCUCAGUAUAUAGCCUAGCAGUCUCUGUGUUUUGGAAGUGCUGUGUGUCCCUGUCACAGUAUACAGCCUAGCAGUCUCUGUGUUUUGGAAGUGCUGUGCCCCCCUGUCUCGGUAUAUAGCCUAGCAGUCACUGUGCUCUGAAAGUGCUGUGUCCCCGUCUCAGUGUAUAGCCUAGCAGUCUCUGUGUUUUGGAAGUGCUGUGUGUCCCUUUCACAGUAUACAGCCUAGCAGUCACUGUGUUUUGGAAGUGCUGUGUGUCCCUUUCACAGUAUACAGCCUAGCAGUCUCUGUGUUUUGGAAGUGCUGUGUGCAGCCUGUCUCAGUAUAUAGCCCAGUAGUCUGUGUUUUGGAAGUGCUGUGUGCAGACUGUCACAGUAUACAGCCUAGCAGUCACUGUGUUUUGGAAGUGCUGUGUGUUCCUGUCUCAGUAUAUAGCCUAGCAGUCUCUGUGUUUUGGAAGUGCUGUGUCCCCCUAUCUCAGGAUACAGCCUAGCAGUCUGUGUUGUGGAAGUGCUGUGUCCCCCUGUCUCGGGAUACAACCUAGCAGUCACUGUGUUUUGGAAGUACUUUGUGUCCCUGUCUCAGUAUAUAGCCUAGCAGUCUCUGUGUUUUGGAAGUGCUGUGUCCCCCUGUCUCAGUUUAUAGCCUAGCAGUCUCUGUGUUUUGGAAGUGCUGUGCCCCCCUGUCUCAGCAUACAACCUAGCAGUCAUUGUGUUUUGGAAGUACUGUGUGUCCCUGUCUCAGUAUAUAGCCUAGCAGUCUCUGUGUUUUGGAAGUGCUGUGCCCCCCUGUCUCAGGAUACAACCUAGCAGUCACUGUGUUUUGGAAGUACUGUGUGUCCCUGUCUCAGUAUAUAGCCUAGCAGUCUCCGUGUUUUGGAAGUGCUGUGCCCCCCUGUCUCAGGAUAUAGCCCAGUAGUCUGUGUUUUGGAAGUGCUGUGUGCAGACUGUCACAGUAUACAGCCUAGCAGUCACUGUGUUUUGGAAGUGCUGUGUGUUCCUGUCUCAGUAUAUAGCCUAGCAGUCUCUGUGUUUUGGAAGUGCUGUAUCCCCCUAUCUCAGUAUAUAGCCUAGCAGUCUCUGUGUUUUGGAAGUGCUGUGUCCCCCUAUCUCAGAAUACAGCCUAGCAGUCUGUGUUGUGGAAGUGCUGUGUCCCCCUGUCUCAGUAUAUAGACUAGCAGUCUCUGUGUUUUGGAAGUGCUGUGCCCCCCUGUCUCAGGAUACAACCUAGCAGUCACUGUGUUUUGGAAGUACUUUGUGUCCCUGUCUCAGUAUAUAGCCUAGCAGUCUCUGUGAUUUGGAAGUGCUGUGCCCCCCUGUCUCAGUAUAUAGCCUAGCAGUCUCUGUGUUUUGGAAGUGCUGUGUCCCCGUCUCUGUGUAUAGCCUAGCAGUCUUUGUGUUUUGGAAGUGCUGUGUGCAGCCUGUCUCGGUAUAUAGCCUAGCAGUCUCUGUGUUUUGGAAGUGCUGUGUCCAGCUUGUCUCAGUAUAUAGCCUAGCAGUCAGUGGCGUACUAAGGGGGGAGCGGCAGGGGCGGUCCCCGGGUGCCACUCACUAGGGGGGUGCCCGGGGUGAACUUUCACAGGGCGGCAUUCCCAACUAGCAGCAGCAGGUCCUCUGUUCUCGCGAUCCGCGAGAGCGUUGCCAUGGCUUGCCAUAGCAACCCACAGCAACGCUCUCGCGGAUCGCUAGAACAGAGGACCCUGCUGCUGGAUGGGAAACGAGGAUGCAGAGUUCUGGGCCCCUUUACUGCCCAUCUAAUGCUAUGCCAUCGGACCACCAGUCGAGGAGGAUGGGACAGGCAGGUAAGUGCCAGCACUUAUUUCACACAACAUACACACACUAUACACACACUGCAUACACACUACACACGGCACACACUAUACACACACUGCAUACACACUUCAUACACUAUACACACACUGCACACACUAUACACACACUUCAUACACUAUACACACACUGCAUGCACACACUAUACACACACUAUACACCCACUGCACACACUAUACAAACUGCAUCCACUACGCAAACACACAUACUUAUACAUGUGUAUCUGUAUGUCUGUGUAUCUGUAUGUGUAUGUGUUUGUGUGUCUGUGUAUCUGUAGGUAUGCGUCUAUCUGUAUGUGUGCCUGUGUCUCUUCCUGUAUGUGUCUGUAUCUGUGUAUGACUGUGUUUCUAUUUAACUGCAUGUGUGUCUGUGUAUCUGUAUGUGUGCCAGUGUGUGUAUAUGUGAGUAUAUGUACAUACAUCUCAGCAUUUCGUCUACACUACACACAAAUACAACCCUGCAUCCAAAUGUCAACACUACAUAAAAGGACACCACCAUAUUCAAAAACCAAUACGUGGAAACACACCCGUACAUUCACUCACACAAACUCCAUACAAAAACAUGCUUACGUUAAAAAUAUACAAACACUGCUCAGUGCCAAAUACAUUAAAAAAAUGUGCAGUUGUUUUUUACAUUUAAAGUUGGUAAGGGGUGGGGGGGUGCCAAAUAAAGGAUCCGCCCCGGGUGCCAAAUGCUCCAGGUAUGCCCCUGCUAGCAGUCACUGUGUUUUGGAAGUGCUGUGUGCAGCCUGUCUGGGUUAGAUUGCUAGAGUCCCCCAGUAAUUGCUUUGCAUUUAAUAAAAGGGUGAGAGAGGAAUCCUCCCCAUGGCUGUGUAAAAGGCAGAACACGUUUCAUUACAUCAUUGGAAGGAAGUAAUGUACAGUCUGAGUGGGCACUGGACCGUGUUAUGGGCAUCAUGCAGCUAAAUAUCUCCCAAAAUCUACUUGUUAGGAGGAAAUUGAGCAUAAAGAUACUGGGGAAUUAAGGGACCCCGGCAGGGAAAGGUUAAUAGAUAUUACUGUGCGUCCUGUAGGGAAGGAAACUACUUUUCCUGGAGUGUUCUAAAUGAUUAUAAUGAAUGCACUGGGUAUCUAAUAAACUCUGCUGUCAUCCUGAGGAGCACUGUACAUUUCCUAUUGUAAUAACCCCAUUCCUUCCUGUUUCUCUGUGUCAUCCUACUGCUUUGUGUCUCUUCCUCUCUUAUGUUUAUAAUUUCUCAUUCCCAACUUCAUGUCUGUCUGUCUGCCCAUUUACUAAACAGCGAGUUCUGUGACUUCAGAUUAGAAUUUUAUCGCAGCUGCACUAUGUCUGUGUGUUCUCUCUUGUUCAUUCAUAGCCUGUCUGUGCUUCAUAAAUGCUUAUAUGUGUGCAUUAAACUCUCAUUCAGACAUUUUUAGCCAUUUGUUUACUGGCCGGUAAAAUGAAUGAUGUCCAUAUGUCCAUAUUGUAUAAAAAUAAAUUGCAUAUUGAAUGUAGUUUUUACAUGCACUUUGUUAUUUAUUAUUUGUCAUUCAGACAUUUAAUUAGAAUGGAGGGGUUCCUCUUUGCAUAAUCCCCAGUGUGAGAUCAUUUAAUCCCUAACCCCCAUCCGACUGCCUGGGGUACAAUGGGCAGUGGCAGUGGGUGAGGGUGUUAAAUAUCAGAGGAGCACAGCAGCCACCUGCAAUAGUACUUCCUAUGUCCCUCACAUAUGUGCAGAGGAUGGGAGUUACAAAAUAAAGUCAAUGGGGUUAAAAAUAAUGCCAUCCUUCUAAUACCUGCCCUUUAGGAACAAACCUGUACACCAACUAAGGAACAAUGGCUUGAUAAGAUAGAAGAGAUUUAAACUGCAGAAGUGAUUCAGGCGUCUAUUCUAGGUAACACCACAAAACAUGUAAAUGCUUGGUACCCAUGGUUAGAUUAUUUAUUGCAGUGUAAUAAUAAGUUUAACGAUACAGAGGUAACUCAAAAUUUAGGAGUUGAUGGUGAGCAGGAAAUUGUGAUAUAAUAAUCCUUUGUUCCAACUACUCUUAUAAAUACGACUUAACUAUCUACUUCAUCUCCAGUUUCAAUCUCUCUGUCUUUUAUUUGACUUUGUUUUAUUUAUUUAUUUUAUUGUUCCUUUCUUCUUCCAUUUCUUACUCGAGGAAAAACUGCAACGUACUACGAAAUUUAUUUACUUCUAAACUGACAUACGAUCCAAAGUCUAUAGAAUCAACAAAACAAUUUAACACGAUGUAAAGUGUGAUACCAACUGAGCCGUUUCCUUCUUUUGAGGAGCAAAUUAUUUAGUUUAUGCCUUCUUUCAAUUUGAGAGAUACAUUUACUACAGUAAUUUGUUGACCUGAUAUGGACAAAUCAAAGAAGGAUGCUAUUUCUUGUGACAUGUAUGAAAAUAAAAUAAUUUGCUAUAUGUCCUUAAGUUAUAAACCAACAUAUGUUUCUCUGUUAUACAUAGUAACAUGAUAAUAUGCCUUGAUACACUGCUUGACUUAUUGUAGUCUUUAAAAUAUUGGAAUAAGUUAUUGUUAUGAAAUGUUAUAUCCUGUAAUACUAUCUUGUUUAAAAAAAAAAUUGAUUGGGGCAAAAAAAUAAAAAAAUAAAGCCAUCCCUAUAACCUGGGCUCUGGUUGGGGACAAAUAGUAAAGGGGCGUGCACAAGACUAGGCAUGGUGGGAGGGGCUAGAAGAAAGGUCUAUUUUUGUUGGAAUUUGAGGCACUCAAAGGGUUAACUUCACAUGGGGUGCACAUUUUAUUAACAAUAUUAAUAUUAACAAAAUUCAGAUGAACUGAAAGGUCUCCACAAAAGUAAAUUUAUCAAGAACUCAAAAUGAAAAAAAAAUAUAUAUUCACUAGGAACACUUCAAUCAAGCCCCCCCCCCCCUAUAUUACAAAUCCCUUUCCUACCACCCUCCCUCCAUCUAUGAUUCCCUCCCUCUCUCUCACCUCUAUUCUCCCACUCAUUCAUUCAUUCCUUCUUUUGAUUAUAUGUAGUAAACUAUGUGUGUUGUAUUAGUUGAGUUAAUUUUGUUUUACAUACAAUUUUAACAUUUGCCUUUGUAGAUCUCUCACUCUCUUUAUAUAUCGACUCUAUUUAUCUGCCUCUGGUUCUCUGUACUUUUAUUGUUUGUUCUAAUUGUUGUGUUAUUCAUUGUCUACCAGGAUAGGUAGCGACCUUUAAGUAGGAGGUAGUUUGAGCUAUUUUGAUGACUUAUAAAUUUGUAUUACAAAAAAAGUUAGUUUUUUUUUUUCAAUGGCUACAAUUUUAAUAUCAACUGGCGUGCAGUUUUCCAGACAGAAUGUUAGAACAAAGUUCUUCUGCACUAGAACCCACUGUUUAGUGAGUAAACCCCUUAUAGGACAAAGCAGUUUGCGGUCUGCUCAAGUAACAGUUAGGAGGAGAUUACUUCAGAAUUGACUUGCAAACUUUGAAUUAAAAUAACCACAGCGAAACAAAUCCAACUUUAUGAACUGGAGGUUUUUUUCCCAUCCCCGUCUAGUCCGUCACAUUAAAGCAACAUUGCAAAACUAUAUAAAAUUAAACAUAUACACGCUCAUUCGCUAUUCCAGAUGAAUUCAAAGUGAAUUUCAAAUUCAAGGACAAAAUAGACAAAUUGGAAAAGUUAGCUAUAUUUUCCAUUCAUCUACUUUGGUCUUAAAUUUGAAAUUUACUUGGAUUCACCUUGAAUUCUCACUUUAGUGAAUAACCCUGGGAGAAGAUUAUUUCACUGAGCACCAAUCUAUAGGGCCUAGGCAUUGAAAACCGUAUUGCAAAAUGUUCAACUGGAGCAACCUUUUCCUGCUGCAAAAGGUAGGCAACAAUUACUGAUCUGCAAAAAAAUGUACUUCAUUAUGGUCACAGCUUGUGUUCAAUACAAUUCAGUGUUGUGUAAAUAAAUUCAAUGGGUAGAGGUGCGCUUACAGUAUAUAAGUAAAGGUUUAAAUUUGUUUGGGACUUGUAAAUACGGUUAACAAAGUGCUUUAACGGUACUGAUUAAUACAAAAACAAACAAACCGCUCAGUGUGCUUGUAUCAGGGAGGAUUUUAAGCUAAUACAACCAAAUUGCAAAAUUUAGACCAACAUCUUUUUUGCCUAAAUUUUGCAAAUCAUGGUUUUGUGAAUAAAGCCCUUAAUCAAAAUAUGUACAUCCGUGGUUAGAAUAGUAAUGAAGAAUCUUAGCAAAAUUAAAAGUACAUUUAUAUUACAGUAAAAUAUUUCAGUAGAUCUUACUUUUUCAUCCAUCUCACUUUUAUUUUUUUAUGCAAAUUACCAGUUAAGUAUUUUGAAGAAUAUAAUUCUCAGAUAAUACACAAAUUGCAUCUUAUUUAGUUCUAUGGCUACGUUAUAUGAUGUCGGACAUCUAAGAGAUUUUUGCCAACACUGAGGGGUUUAUUUAAUGAUUACUGAGUAUUCAGUGACAAUAAUAACAGAGUUCUGACAAUAUCUGAGUUGGAGACUUUAUCCACAUCAGCUAUUUUUCCUGACCUUGUGCAAGUUGGCCUUCAAUUCACUUUAGUUUGGUGUUUAGUGAAAAUUGCCUUUUUGAACAGUUAAAAACACAAUCUACAGGAGUUUAUUUGGUAGUAAGACUAAAUAAGUGCUACAAUUAUAGACUUUUUCCAAAUCAGCUACUUUUUCCAAAUCUCUUAAAGCAGAUCUGUCACUUUUCAGUAUUUCACAAAGAUAUCAUCUUUACAAAUACUGAAUAAUAUCCAAAGUUCUCAUAAAACAAAGUAGGGACUAUUUUUUUUCUUAUGGCAAAGCCUGUGGUUGACAAAAGGAGGAGCUCCUCUGUUAACUUGUGUCCAGUCCCAGCAGCCAUCACAAAUGACAGCUGUACAAUUCAGAAAGACCACAGGAUCCUCCAUAGACCUCAUUGAUGCACACUUGUGCAUGCGCAAUUGUAAAGCACCGAUGUGGCACCUGCCAAAGAAAUCUGCAGAGUUAAUAUGGCAGUGGUCGUGAAGGAGAGCAUGAGGUAUGUAAAACUCACCUCCCCUGCCCCCUAGGGCUACCGGACCCACACAGGAUCUGUCCUUUUUCCGAAUUGGAAAAAGAGAAAAAUAGAAAAUUCACAACCUUUUCUUAUUGCUAAGUGGAUGUGAAUGUGCACUACAUAUGAGAACAUGUUUGUACAGGUAAGGUGGUUACAGAUAGUCUGCAAGCUAUCUUUCUCUCUCUUUCAAUACUAAUCAGUACUAAUUAUUUUUGCUCCAUAAGCUCAUCCUGUCUGCCCCUUCUUCCAUUCUCCAAAGUUUCCUUUUUUUGCUCCAAAGUGAUUGCUAUACAUGAUUACUGUAUACAAUACGACUGCCAGAAAUUCUUGCUGUGCCAAUAAACCACUGAUUAUGGGAAAAUGAGUUAUAAAAAGUAUAGUAAACAAAACAUCAGUCACUUCUUCAUUUAAUGAGAGUCAUUUUGAAUCAGUACAGAUUGGAGGUUUGCAGUACCUUUAAAUGUGAGUAUUUUUAUUUGUGUAUUUUUCUUUUCCAAGUUUAUUUUUGUUCAUAUUGUUUAUAUUUUUUUGUUGUAAAUAUCUAUUUAUUUCGACAAGAGGUCUUCCCGUCAUUUUUUUUUUUUGUAUGAGUCAAGCAUAGCAUAGAACAGCAGAGUACACGGCACGGAGGUCUGUAUCAAUUAAGAGUGAAGCCAUGGAACUCGCAGGUUCCGUACACAUUUAAACAGCAUGUGAGACAUGCAGGUCUCAAUUAUUAUUGGGUUAGUUUUAUGCCAGUUGGUGUUCAUAUUGUUUAAUGUAUACUGUAUGCAUUAGAAAAUGUUAAAUCUACUCUAGAGUCUCUAUUUAAAGGGUUACUCCAACCAUCGUGACCACAUCAGUGAUCUGAAGUGGUCAUGUUGGUAGGAGCCUGGACGUACAGCAUUCUGCUUGAAACAAUGCACAUCUAGAGAUAUUGUUAAUUGUGCGUUGGCGGUUAGAUGCAUCCCCCGCACACAUGACACUGCCAGCUUAGAACUCUGUUCCGUGCUGUCUAAUGUUAAUUCUGUGCAUACUUAACAUCUGUCAUCAGCACACACUGCAUGCUGCCGACAGAUGUUAAAAAGUUCCUUUUGUUGGCAGAGUGCUUACAAGGGGAAGAAAGCUCACCCUCCCUGUGGGCGCUCUCUCCUGUCUCCCUCCAUUGCUGGCUGGUUUUUGUUUUUAAAAAAGCAAUAAAUACCCCUCACACCUCUCUUUCCCUUAACCAUUCCACUCUCUCCACCUCCCUGACGUACAGUGUACAUUGUCUGUCAAAAGUGGUUCUUGCCAUACCAGGUAUUUCACAAAUGAUUCAUUAACAUUCUGGAAUUCCCUGCAGGCAUUAGAUCACCACAACAACUAGUAUUAUCACAGAUAUCUCCAUUUCAAAUGGUAUGUGUUGCAGUUGUGGCAUGUAUCAUGCUGUUAAUGCAGGGGUGGAAAAACUUUAUUGAUAUGAAAUCAGCUUUGCAAGUUGUCAGGUUAACAGUAAUCUACCACUGUUUCAGCACUUCAUUAACCUCUUCACUACCAUGACUUUUUUAUUGAAAAAUAUUUCAUUUAAAUAAAAUUCUAUUUUGUGUAUAUAUUGCUUUGUAGACAAACGUAAAGUUUUUAAAUAUGUAAAUUUACACCAUUUUUAUUUUUUACUUAUUUAAUCAUCCAUUAUAAAAAUAUUUGGGAAAUAAAAGCUUUAGGCAGCAUGCAGUGUCAUAUAUCUUGCGAUAAUUCACACAGGGUCUGAAAUAUUAGUAUAAAAGCUCACAUUCAGUAGGUGUGACAAAAUUAUAUAAGUAAAAAUGGUCAAAAAACCUUGGUUAUAAGUAUUAACAAGGACCCUUAAGGCAUUAAUAGUAGUAGUUUACUAAACAUUCCAACAAAAAGUAAAAAGAAUGUCUGCAUAAUGACCACAUAUAGGAAAUUCAGUUAAUUCAUGUAUUUCUAAAAUAAAGGUAUAUAAAACUGUUGUAGUAAAUCUCUAGAGUGCUAAUGUAAUGCUGUGUGUGUAUGUGAGGUUUGCUGAGUGUGAUUGUAUGUGGAGUUGGUUGAGUGUGAGGGUUGUGAGUGCAAUGUUCCUGCUUAUCUUAAUGCAGAGGAGGGUGUAUAAUCCCUGGUGGUCCCUGUGGGUGCUGCUAGUCACAUCCCUGGUGGUCCAGUGGGGGAGCAUGUGUUCUGCACCUCUGGUGGAUGCAGACCACAUAAACCCUCUUGCAGCCCAGUGCUCACUUAAUGAGUAACAGUAAUUUUAUGGUAAACUGUUGGCCACACUGAUCUAUUCACUGAGCCUGGGAACCACGAAGGAGCACUUAAAGGCAGAGUAAUUUUUUCAGGAUGAGGGGGAUCUGCAUGAUAUUAGACAGGUGGUUAUACCCACAGGCUCCCAAAUAUCAUAUAUACAGUCAUACCCACACUCUUAAAUACAGACUGUCAUACCCACAGACUCCCAGAUAUACAUAAAUGCAGUCAUACUCACAGACUUUCAGAUAUACAUAUACACCAUCAUACCAACAGACUCCCAGAUAUACAUACAUUCAGUCAUACUGGCUGUCAUACCCACAGUCUCCCAUACAUACUUGUAUAAUACCAUGUGAGGACACAGUAUGUUUGUUACACUUUGAGAUUAGUUUUGUUACAAAUUGCAAUUUAUCCGAAUUUGGGAAGACUGAGUGAGUGUUUAAUUCCCAAUCUCUGAGCCGAAAUGUAUCUGAAUCAUAAAAAUGGAAUGUGCUAUGGCUGAGCGUAUUUGUUUUUUUUUUUUUUUUUUGGUAUUCUGCCUGUGGCAACAACAAAAAAGAGGCAUAGUCCUGAUAUCAGGGUCCCGUUCCAAUAUCCCAACUUUGUUCCCGGGUGUCCCGCUUUUAGCGACAAUAGGAGACUGUCCCAACCAUGAACUCAUUCUGCAGAGAGUGCUGAAACUGUGCUCCCUGCAUAAUCUGCUGUUGGCGGGCUGGUCUGUUUGAUUGGCAGACGGUGUGGCAACUCUCCGGGUGCACCCAACUUUCUGAGCAGGGGGGAAGCCACACAGGAGUCCUUCUUUUAUUUUUGCACUGGGGUCCAGUGGUUCCUAGUUACACCCUUGUCUGCUCACCAAUACAUAAUUUUGUACUAAUACCUUGCUUAUAUGUAUUUAUUAUUAUAGCAGUCAGGAUGUUAACUCUGAGAUAGAGAGGACUUUUGCAUGUAGUGUUGUGUGACUGCACGUAGUGUUGACAUUUGUUUGUAGCAGUGUGCUUGUAUGACAUUUUGCUGGGAUGUAUGCACAGAUACACAUAUGCAGCCACACACAAAGUGACACAAUUACACACAUGAUCCACACUGACACACACAGAUACACACAAUCUUACAAACAUAUACCUUCAAAGACACAGAGACACACACAUACAAGUCACAGUUUAUAUAUAUUUAGCCGCCACUCUGCUUCCAUACCUUUGGAGUGCAGGAUGGUGGCUUCCCUGGGCAGGCCAAGGCUGAUGGGAGUCUGAGGCUGUCCAGGCUGUCUGCAGUGCUCUCCAUUGUACCCUCUCUGUGCCUUCUAUGUCCUCCUAGCAAAUGUAGUCUGUAAGCUGUGAUGAAGUGAUAGGAAGUCGCUUCCUCCCAAAAUUGACUGCCAUUGUUAAUAGGGUCCAGUUUUGGUGCUAAAGGGCCACAGCACCCAACCAGGCUCGUGGUCAGACCUGCCUAUCAACAUCUGUGGGGCCUACCCUAUGAGCUACAAUGGUGGUAGUUCCAACGCUGGUCUGUGAGCUCCCUACGGGUGGAUAUUACUAAAAUACAGUGGGAUAUAGAAAUAUUUGAUUGCUACUAUAUUCCUUCUAGUUUAUUGUGAAACUAAAAUCAGGUACGUGGCACCAAAAAAAGUACAUUUAUUUAAUUUAAAUUUCUUCCACUUAAUGCUUCAGAGAAAUAAUUUAGUACAAUGCAUACAUUAAUAUACAAAACAUGAUUAUUCUGUCUACUGCCAAAAAAUAAAGUCACAGUGCUGCCUGAAUUAAACACCAAUAAUCUGUAUGUUUUAUGAUUACACAUUUUAUGGGUCAUCGAUAGUCCUCUGUCUGAAAACUCUCGUCCUAAGCAAAGGUGAAAUAUUUAAAUUCCACAAAUUCACAUUCCUAUUUGUUAACCCCUGGCAGCGAGAAGGCCUGACUUAAUAAUGUCCAUGUGAGCUAAGAUUACUCCGUGUCUGCUAAAGUGGCAAACCACACAUCCUGUGCCAGAACAUAAAUUAAAGCGGAAGAUUUUCCAUAUCUAGUUGGAAAAGGUUUAAUUUACAGCUGUGCCGUUUAACACUCUUUGAAUUCCUGCCUAGCUAUGUGAAUUGUCGAGGUACUUAUUUGCGUAACCUUUAUACCGUUUAUAGAGGUUUUCAGGUGAUAAUUCAUAUUUGAAAUCCAUUAGUUUAUUUAAAUAUUAGUCCUUUGAGAGACGUUUGCCUCUGUUCCCGUUACUUCAGACUCAUGAUACAUCAUUUUAUUGAAUAUGCUACAGUUAACACCAAAGAAAACAAAAAAAAAAAUACAGAUUAGUAUCUAAACUCUAUUCCAUUUAUCUCUGCUGUCUUCUAUAUUAAUGUAUGUAAAGUGAUUGGGUUAGGUAAGUAUUCAUGCAUGUUAUGACAAACGCCCUGUGGUCUGGUCGUUUGCCACAAGCUCCUGGAGGUUGAAUUAAUUGUAUUAUCUCUCAGUACAGAAACAGGCAAUAUAGCAAAACCCCAGAAAUACCCCCAAAACACAUAAAACCCCCCACAAAAGUUACACCCCGAUCUGGGUGACCAACAUAGCCCCAAUCUGGGUGAUUUUUGGAUAUCAGGGGGUGUAACUUUGUGUGAGGGUGACUGGUGACAGACUGUGAUGUGGAGAGGCUGUAAUUAGCCUCCCCACACUCACAUAGUUUGUUUCUUUUUAGUGUUCCAUUCCCUGGUGGUCCAGUGGCUGGCUCUACAGGUCUGCAGCUCCGCCGAGUGUGAGCUGCAGACCAAGUUAUCACGAGCUCGGAUUAGAGCGUUGCCAUGGUAACCCGCAGCAAAGCUCUGGGAGCUCGCAAGUCCUCCAUCACACAGUGUCAUGGUCUUGAUCAGGCUUAUGACAGGGUUAAUGUUUAAAAGUUUAUUUGGGACUUGAGACAUAUUUACACACAAAUUGCAAGCCAAAAAGGGAGGUAAGUAAAACAGGGAGAACAGAAAAGAGAUUAAGGCAAAUGUAAGUAGGAUAACCUAUAAACAGAAUUAUAAGUGAGGUUGACAGAGAACCUAUAAAUUAAAUUAUAGGCAAGAAUAGGGAGUGACAAUAGAAAAGGGAGUUUAGGCAAUAUGCUCCAGAUAGGUUAGAAAUAAGAAUUAGGCAAUUGUAAGCAGGGAAACCUAUAAAUGGAAUUAUAGGUAAUAUUGAGAGAGAACCUAUAAAUCAAACUAUAGGUAAAAAAGAAAGGAUAACAGAAAUAGUGGUUUAAGCAAUAUGCCUCAGAGAGGUUAUAUACAGACAGAUUAUUUACAGAUAUUAGACGAUAGUAAGAAAUCCUAUAUAUGAAAGUAGAGGAUAGAGAAGUAAAACGGAACUAAACAGUAAAGUGUCAGAAUAGCAAACAAAAUAGUAAUUUAGUGAAUCAGUCCCCUGUUUGGAUGGAGCAGUGAAAAGAUAGGCAAAUAACUGUUUGCAAUAUUGGUUAUUUGUGUAAUACAGGGUAAUAUGAUACAGGAUGGUAAUAGCAAGCAGAUUGGUAAGGUAGUCCAGGUUGGUGUGUAGCAGGAUUGUAAAAUAAAUCAGGUUAAAAUCACAAAGCAGGAUAGUGGUAUAAUGCAGGUUGGUUUGUAGAUUUGUUCAGGUUGAAACUAAAGUAGCCUGAUCGAGUAGUCCAGGUUGAUAAUAAGAAGCUUGCUAGCAAUGAAGGUUGGCAAUGUAGAUCGGCUUGGAAUAAAGAGGUUUGGUAGAGAAGAUAUGGUUGAUAUCCAACAGGACAAGAACAAUGCAGGUAAGUUCACAGGAGCCAGGAAACAGAAGUAUUUUCAAAAAAACCAUUGACUUCAAUCUAAAGGCCCUAUCUUGAGCAGGGUGUAGCCUUUUGUAACUUAAGUGAUUAAUCCAGGCAGGUGAAAAUGAGUCUAGAAAAGUUAAGAGCUAAUGGUUAUGUAGGCCUCUAGUGGCAAAACAUAGUCAAGGCGGGAACAUAAUUAAAUGAAAGGGAAUAAAGUUCUGUUAUCAUGGUUUCAAACCUGACACACGGUCUGUAGUUCUGCACUCAGUGAAGCUGCAGACUAGAGGCUCUCCCAGGACAGACUGAUGGAGGGACCCGGCAGCAUACAGGGAAAGCCGCCUGGCCCCUCCUCUUGUUGGGUUCUCAUACACCUCUGCCGCCACUGCUGCAUAUAUAUGCCACCCCUGUUAAAGUGCUGCCUGGGGCCAUUAACCCAGUCCGUCCUAUGGACGGGCCGGCUCUGACUAGCCCCCAGCACACAAUUACAAAUGUCUUUGUAUGUGCAGUGUUUCAAGCUUAAACACUGACUCCUACCACCAUUACCACUUCAAAUAAGUAAUCAUGGUGGUGGGAGUAACCCUUUAAAUAUCUUAACCACUGUGUGUCUGAUGGAGAAGAUUGUUGUUUCUGUCUGAAAUGACAGGUGGCUGAACAGCAGUCAAAAAAAAAAUGUAGUACCAACAAUUGGGGCAUGUAGAAUAUAUUGAUAAACUAGACUUUCUUAUACAGCAAUGCAUUGCUCUUGCACAAAACACCCAAUGACACUUUACUCAAGCCAGGAGCUUCCUCAUUUCUUUCCUUUUCCUUAAUAUUAUGGGGGGUCCUGCUGUAUUAAUUGUUUUAAGCUAUCUGUAUCAUGAAAAGAGCUUGUUCAUUAUUCUAGGAUUGUGAAGAAUUACUAAAGGAACUAAAACAAUUUAUGCUUAUGUAAAUGAGUUCAAAAAAAGCUGAAGUUGGAGAAUUUUUCCAGUUUUGAAUUUUUGUCUAAACCUUUCAAUUCUCUUACCAGUUCCACGCAGCUGUUGAUUUAAUGGAAAAAAAACCUUCACGUUGUAAGAGCAAGUUUAACAAUCAAGUUACAAAAUAGAGUUUAAAAAAAAAUAAAUCUUCAUCAUAAUUUUGCGAUUCAUUUUUGAUUGCAAAUUUCACUGCAAACCACUAUUGUUUUACUAGUGAUACAUCGAUGUAGGCUCCCUCACCUUCCUGGCCCCCAUUACUUGGCACUAGCUGCAUCAAUGACCGUUCUGCUUUUGUUACAACAGCUACUUUUAUUUGUAACAAUGUUUGUUUCUGUGAGUUUAAUCAGAUAAUUUCUUAUUUCCUUCUACUCAGGCUGCAAACUGUGUCCACAAAGACAUUUGAAAGCUCCAGGACAUUGUGAUACGAUGCUCAAAGACUUACUUAAUUCUAUAUAGCUUAGGUACAAAUGUGAGAAUAUUCUGGAUCUUAUCUGUUUUUAACCACUUGACUCUCGGGUUUCAUCAUAAGAUUCCUGACCUAGUGAUUGGAGCACAUUACACAGUUGUUCUUUCAGUUGUACAAAGUAC